Molecule: ribosomal RNA, 837 nt
Filed under: Penicillium sp.
Lineage: Eukaryota; Fungi; Ascomycota; Eurotiomycetes; Eurotiales; Aspergillaceae
Description: partial large subunit ribosomal RNA
Rfam family: Eukaryotic large subunit ribosomal RNA
Source: RNAcentral
CGGCGAGUGAAGCGGCAAGAGCUCAAAUUUGAAAGCUGGCCCCCUCGGGGUCCGCAUUGUAAUUUGCAGAGGAUGCUUCGGGAACGGCCCCCAUCUAAGUGCCCUGGAACGGGCCGUCAUAGAGGGUGAGAAUCCCGUCUGGGAUGGGGUGGCCGCGCCCGUGUGAAGCUCCUUCGACGAGUCGAGUUGUUUGGGAAUGCAGCUCUAAUUGGGUGGUAAAUUUCAUCUAAAGCUAAAUAUUGGCCGGAGACCGAUAGCGCACAAGUAGAGUGAUCGAAAGAUGAAAAGCACUUUGAAAAGAGAGUUAAACAGCACGUGAAAUUGUUGAAAGGGAAGCGCUUGCGACCAGACUCGCCCGCGGGGUUCAGCCGGCACUCGUGCCGGUGUACUUCCCCGCGGGCGGGCCAGCGUCGGUUUGGGCGGCCGGUCAAAGGCCUCUGGAAGGUAACGCCUCUCGGGGCGUCUUAUAGCCAGGGGUGCCAUGCGGCCUGCCCGGACCGAGGAACGCGCUUCGGCUCGGACGCUGGCAUAAUGGUCGUAAGCGACCCGUCUUGAAACACGGACCAAGGAGUCUAACAUCUACGCGAGUGUUCGGGUGUCAAACCCGUGCGCGCAGUGAAAGCGAACGGAGGUGGGAACCCCCCGGGGUGCACCAUCGACCGAUCCUGAUGUCUUCGGAUGGAUUUGAGUAAGAGCGUAGCUGUUGGGACCCGAAAGAUGGUGAACUAUGCCUGAAUAGGGCGAAGCCAGAGGAAACUCUGGUGGAGGCUCGCAGCGGUUCUGACGUGCAAAUCGAUCGUCAAAUUUGGGUAUAGGGGCGAAAGACUAAUCGAACCA